This 474-nucleotide ribosomal RNA is filed under the name uncultured bacterium. Its description in RNAcentral is "bacterial SSU rRNA". It matches the Rfam family "Bacterial small subunit ribosomal RNA", at positions 335 to 799 of the family's 1533-position model. The record is from RNAcentral.
ACUCCUACGGGAGGCAGCAGUGGGGAAUAUUGCACAAUGGGGGAAACCCUGAUGCAGCCAUGCCGCGUGUGUGAAGAAGGCCUUCGGGUUGUAAAGCACUUUCAGUAGGGAGGAAGGUAGUGUAGUUAACACCUGCACUAUUUGACGUUACCUACAGAAGAAGCACCGGCUAACUCCGUGCCAGCAGCCGCGGUAAUACGGAGGGUGCGAGCGUUAAUCGGAAUUACUGGGCGUAAAGCGCAUGCAGGCGGCCUGUUAAGUCAGAUGUGAAAGCCCGGGGCUUAACCUCGGAAUUGCAUUUGAAACUGGCAGGCUAGAGUCUUGUAGAGGGGGGUAGAAUUUCAGGUGUAGCGGUGAAAUGCGUAGAGAUCUGAAGGAAUACCAGUGGCGAAGGCGGCCCCCCUGGACAAAGACUGACGCUCAGAUGCGAAAGCGUGGGGAGCAAACAGGAUUAGAUACCCUGGUAGCACAGAG